RNAcentral lists this ribosomal RNA (237 nucleotides) under uncultured bacterium. RNAcentral describes it as "partial 16S ribosomal RNA". It matches the Rfam family "Bacterial small subunit ribosomal RNA", at positions 96 to 334 of the family's 1533-position model. The record is from RNAcentral.
CGGCGAACGGGUGAGUAACACGUGGGCAACCUGCCCCUAGCACUGGGAUAACUCCGGGAAACCGGGGCUAAUACCGGAUAUGACCUUUGAGGGCAUCCUUUGAGGUGGAAAAAUUUAUUGGCUAGGGAUGGGCCCGCGGCCUAUCAGCUUGUUGGUGAGGUAACGGCCCACCAAGGCUUCGACGGGUAGCCGGCCUGAGAGGGCGACCGGCCACACUGGGACUGAGACACGGCCCAG